CAGCGCCGUCCCGUCCGACAGCCAGGCCCGGGAGAAGUUAGCACUCUACGUAUAUGAAUAUCUGCUCCAUGUAGGAGCUCAGAAAUCAGCCCAAACAUUUUUAUCAGAGAUAAGAUGGGAAAAAAACAUCACAUUGGGGGAACCACCAGGAUUCUUACAUUCUUGGUGGUGGUAAGUAUCCUUUAUUCCAUUUUUACUGGCUUGAUGAUGUAUGUCAAUAGGCCUGUACUAUACCUGUUUAUGAUUUCAUGCUUCC
Molecule: small RNA, 256 nt
Filed under: Pan troglodytes (chimpanzee)
Lineage: Eukaryota; Metazoa; Chordata; Mammalia; Primates; Hominidae
Description: retained intron
Source: RNAcentral